CGGACGGGUGAGUAACGCGUGAGCAACCUGCCGCCUGGUGGGGGAUAACCUUUGGGAAACCGGGGCUAAUACCGCAUAUGUCCGGGUGAUCGAUGGAUCGCCCGAGCAAAGCCGAAAGGCGCCGGGUGAGGGGCUCGCGGCCCAUCAGCUAGUAGGUGUGGUAAUGGCGCACCUAGGCUAUGACGGGUAGCUGGUCUGAGAGGAUGAUCAGCCACACUGGGACUGAGACACGGCCCAGACUCCUACGGGAGGCAGCAGCGAGGAAUUUUCCACAAUGGGCCGUAUGGCCUGAUGGAGCAACGCCGCGUGGGGGACGAAGCGUUUCGGCGUGUAAACCCCUUUUGGGCGGGAAGAUGAUGACGGUACCGCCCGAAUAAGCCCCGGCUAACUACGUGCCAGCAGCCGCGGUAAUACGUAGGGGGCGAGCGUUGUCCGGAUUUAUUGGGCGUAAAGAGCGCGCAGGCGGCCCGCCAAGUCACCACGUGAAAUCCCCCGGCUCAACCGGGGAGGGUCGGGUGAAACUGGCGGACUUGAGGAUGGGAGAGGGGUGCGGAAUUCCCGGUGUAGUGGUGAAAUGCGUAGAUAUCGGGAGGAACACCAGUGGCGAAGGCGGCACCCUGGCCCACACCUGACGCUGAGGCGCGAAGGCCGGGGGAGCGAAUGGGAUUAGAUACCCCAGUAGUC
Molecule: ribosomal RNA, 684 nt
Filed under: uncultured cyanobacterium
Lineage: Bacteria; Bacillati; Cyanobacteriota
Description: bacterial SSU rRNA
Rfam family: Bacterial small subunit ribosomal RNA
Source: RNAcentral